CCUACGGGCGGCAGCAGUGGGGAAUAUUGCACAAUGGGCGCAAGCCUGAUGCAGCCAUGCCGCGUGUGUGAAGAAGGCCUUCGGGUUGUAAAGCACUUUCAGCGGGGAGGAAGGCGGUGAGGUUAAUAACCUCAUCGAUUGACGUUACCCGCAGAAGAAGCACCGGCUAACUCCGUGCCAGCAGCCGCGGUAAUACGGAGGGUGCAAGCGUUAAUCGGAAUUACUGGGCGUAAAGCGCACGCAGGCGGUCUGUCAAGUCGGAUGUGAAAUCCCCGGGCUCAACCUGGGAACUGCAUUCGAAACUGGCAGGCUAGAGUCGUGUAGAGGGGGGUAGAAUUCCAGGUGUAGCGGUGAAAUGCGUAGAGAUCUGGAGGAAUACCGGUGGCGGAGGCGGCCCCCUGGACAAAGACUGACGCUCAGGUGCGAAAGCGUGGGGAGCAAACAGGAUUAGAUACCCCAGUAGUC
RNAcentral lists this ribosomal RNA (465 nucleotides) under uncultured Klebsiella sp. Its description in RNAcentral is "bacterial SSU rRNA". It matches the Rfam family "Bacterial small subunit ribosomal RNA", at positions 338 to 795 of the family's 1533-position model. The record is from RNAcentral. Lineage: Bacteria; Pseudomonadati; Pseudomonadota; Gammaproteobacteria; Enterobacterales; Enterobacteriaceae.